CACACUAUCAUUAACUGAAUCCAUAGGUUAAUGAGGCGAACCGGGGGAACUGAAACAUCUAAGUACCCCGAGGAAAAGAAAUCAACCGAGAUUCCCCCAGUAGCGGCGAGCGAACGGGGAGCAGCCCAGAGCCUGAAUCAGUGUGUGUGUUAGUGGAAGCGUCUGGAAAGGCGCGCGAUACAGGGUGACAGCCCCGUACACAAAAAUGCACAUGCUGUGAGCUCGAUGAGUAGGGCGGGACACGUGGUAUCCUGUCUGAAUAUGGGGGGACCAUCCUCCAAGGCUAAAUACUCCUGACUGACCGAUAGUGAACCAGUACCGUGAGGGAAAGGCGAAAAGAACCCCGGCGAGGGGAGUGAAAAAGAACCUGAAACCGUGUACGUACAAGCAGUGGGAGCACGCUUAGGCGUGUGACUGCGUACCUUUUGUAUAAUGGGUCAGCGACUUAUAUUCUGUAGCAAGGUUAACCGAAUAGGGGAGCCGAAGGGAAACCGAGUCUUAACUGGGCGUUAAGUUGCAGGGUAUAGACCCGAAACCCGGUGAUCUAGCCAUGGGCAGGUUGAAGGUUGGGUAACACUAACUGGAGGACCGAACCGACUAAUGUUGAAAAAUUAGCGGAUGACUUGUGGCUGGGGGUGAAAGGCCAAUCAAACCGGGAGAUAGCUGGUUCUCCCCGAAAGCUAUUUAGGUAGCGCCUCGUGAAUUCAUCUCCGGGGGUAGAGCACUGUUUCGGCAAGGGGGUCAUCCCGACUUACCAACCCGAUGCAAACUGCGAAUACCGGAGAAUGUUAUCACGGGAGACACACGGCGGGUGCUAACGUCCGUCGUGAAGAGGGAAACAACCCAGACCGCCAGCUAAGGUCCCAAAGUCAUGGUUAAGUGGGAAACGAUGUGGGAAGGCCCAGACAGCCAGGAUGUUGGCUUAGAAGCAGCCAUCAUUUAAAGAAAGCGUAAUAGCUCACUGGUCGAGUCGGCCUGCGCGGAAGAUGUAACGGGGCUAAACCAUGCACCGAAGCUGCGGCAGCGACGCUGAUGCGUUGUUGGGUAGGGGAGCGUUCUGUAAGCCUGCGAAGGUGUGCUGUGAGGCAUGCUGGAGGUAUCAGAAGUGCGAAUGCUGACAUAAGUAACGAUAAAGCGGGUGAAAAGCCCGCUCGCCGGAAGACCAAGGGUUCCUGUCCAACGUUAAUCGGGGCAGGGUGAGUCGACCCCUAAGGCGAGGCCGAAAGGCGUAGUCGAUGGGAAACAGGUUAAUAUUCCUGUACUUGGUGUUACUGCGAAGGGGGGACGGAGAAGGCUAUGUUGGCCGGGCGACGGUUGUCCCGGUUUAAGCGUGUAGGCUGGUUUUCCAGGCAAAUCCGGAAAAUCAAGGCUGAGGCGUGAUGACGAGGCACUACGGUGCUGAAGCAACAAAUGCCCUGCUUCCAGGAAAAGCCUCUAAGCAUCAGGUAACAUCAAAUCGUACCCCAAACCGACACAGGUGGUCAGGUAGAGAAUACCAAGGCGCUUGAGAGAACUCGGGUGAAGGAACUAGGCAAAAUGGUGCCGUAACUUCGGGAGAAGGCACGCUGAUAUGUAGGUGAAGUCCCUCGCGGAUGGAGCUGAAAUCAGUCGAAGAUACCAGCUGGCUGCAACUGUUUAUUAAAAACACAGCACUGUGCAAACACGAAAGUGGACGUAUACGGUGUGACGCCUGCCCGGUGCCGGAAGGUUAAUUGAUGGGGUCAGCGCAAGCGAAGCUCUUGAUCGAAGCCCCGGUAAACGGCGGCCGUAACUAUAACGGUCCUAAGGUAGCGAAAUUCCUUGUCGGGUAAGUUCCGACCUGCACGAAUGGCGUAAUGAUGGCCAGGCUGUCUCCACCCGAGACUCAGUGAAAUUGAACUCGCUGUGAAGAUGCAGUGUACCCGCGGCAAGACGGAAAGACCCCGUGAACCUUUACUAUAGCUUGACACUGAACAUUGAGCCUUGAUGUGUAGGAUAGGUGGGAGGCUUUGAAGUGUGGACGCCAGUCUGCAUGGAGCCGACCUUGAAAUACCACCCUUUAAUGUUUGAUGUUCUAACGU
Molecule: ribosomal RNA, 2060 nt
Filed under: Escherichia coli
Lineage: Bacteria; Pseudomonadati; Pseudomonadota; Gammaproteobacteria; Enterobacterales; Enterobacteriaceae
Description: partial 23S ribosomal RNA
Rfam family: Bacterial large subunit ribosomal RNA
Source: RNAcentral